Molecule: long non-coding RNA, 579 nt
Filed under: Equus caballus (horse)
Lineage: Eukaryota; Metazoa; Chordata; Mammalia; Perissodactyla; Equidae
Description: lncRNA (ENSECAG00000043920.1)
Source: RNAcentral
GGCGCCCGUUCGGGGGACUGGCCUUUGCUCUAGAAACUGUUAAAGGCUGAGCUAGGUAGGCGGGGCCAGAUGUGCGAAACCCACAGGCUUGAAGGGAAAAACAGUCGGCGCUCUCACUGACAAACUGCUCUUUUUCUUGCCUCCCGCACGAAGGUGCAGAACCCCGCGAGGUGCAGAAACAUCGUCUUAUGGGCCAAUGCAUCUUCAGGAACUCCUCGCGGAGGAGGUUUUUCCACUUGCCGUUCCCUCUGCCUGCAAUGAUAUUCCACAAGAUGUUCCAACAGCUGGCCCCGAUCAGCUUCAGGAAUUUCUGUAAAGGUCACCUUUUUGGCUCACUGACUGCAGCUGUAACUUGAACUUGCCAAUAUACACCAUUGCUCACAAGAGGACCUGAUGAGAGAGUGUGGAUGAAUUUACUGCCAACCCCUUCCUACUCCAAAAACAAAACAAUUUUGUAGAUUUGUUAUUGAUGGAUCGUAGCACCAAUUUUCAUAUACAAAUGACAACAUUUCAUGUGGCACUAUUUUCAGUGUAAAUGAUAACACAGAUCAUGAGGAGACAGUACAAAUUAUCUUGGGC